RNAcentral lists this long non-coding RNA (533 nucleotides) under Struthio camelus australis. Its description in RNAcentral is "lncRNA (ENSSCUG00000016254.1)". The record is from RNAcentral. Lineage: Eukaryota; Metazoa; Chordata; Aves; Struthioniformes; Struthionidae.
GUUUGGAAGAGAAAAUGGACUUUAAUCUAUACAGCCAUUCCACACUGAGGAAAUCAAGUUAGACAAACAUCUGUCUAAUGUGGCACAAGCACAGCUGAGAGGAGUAGUGACUUCAGUGUCUUUUCUGUCAUUUCCCCUCUUCAGCUCAAAUUCAAAGUUUCCCUAGGAAGGGAGACUCCCUAGUGGAAGAAAGCGGAGAAGCUCCUACUUAGCCAGCACAGCUCUCUGCGAGGAGGCAGGCGCACUGGGGGCAGUCCUUGCCACCCCAGCAGAAACUGGCGCCUCUGUACACCCUUCAGUGAGCACAACAGCAGUUCCAAGGACCAGCUGGCACAAUGCACAGGACAAGAAAAGACAAGAGGAGAAUAGAAGAGGAGCUUUCUCUACUCUGCAACAACUCUGCAACUUUUGACCCAGGGUGUGCCAGCCACUGCAGGACAACCAGGUCUUCCACUCUGCUGCCCAGCCAUGUGCUCUUUAAGAAAAUACACAAUACACAGUACUAAUACAAUAAAUAGUCAUAGCCUCUGUCA